GGGAGGUCUUGGGUUCAAGUCUACCUAUAUUGUUUUAAUUUAUGUUUGUUUCUUUAGUUAUGUGUAGAAAUGUGGAAAGUAAUAUUAAACAGGAUAAAAAUGGUAAGUAGGGCAAAGUGAUCUGGUAGCACAGAAAAAAAUUCGUAAGAGGGAGAAUAUGCAAAGCAAGGGUGUUCUUUUGAUCAAGUUGACAUCUAAGCUUUCAUUAAAGAGGGAGGAGGGACUACAUUGUGAUUGUAUAAGGAGGAAGGAAAAUAUUUUCAUGUGGAACUAAUUAAAUAUUUUUCUUUGAAUCAUAAUGGGUAUGUAGUAAAGCAUAU
This 320-nucleotide long non-coding RNA is filed under the name Vigna radiata. RNAcentral's name for it is "long non-coding RNA (VRAD_LNC011395)". The record is from RNAcentral. Lineage: Eukaryota; Viridiplantae; Streptophyta; Magnoliopsida; Fabales; Fabaceae.